CAAAAACACUACUUAUCAUACGAUCACCGAAGUUAAGCAACGUCGAGACAGGUCAGUACCUAGAUGGGUGUCCGUUUGGGAAUACCUGGUGCCGUAAG
Non-coding RNA from Acanthosepion pharaonis, 98 nucleotides. Lineage: Eukaryota; Metazoa; Mollusca; Cephalopoda; Sepiida; Sepiidae. The record is from the annotation of a GenBank genome assembly.